UCCCUGGUGGUCCAGUGGGUAAGACUCAGUACUCCCAAUGCAAGAGACCCAGGUUCAAUCCCUGGUCAGAGAA
Transfer RNA from Ovis aries (sheep), 73 nucleotides. It matches the Rfam family "tRNA". Rfam says of the family: Transfer RNA (tRNA) molecules are approximately 80 nucleotides in length. Their secondary structure includes four short double-helical elements and three loops (D, anti-codon, and T loops). The record is from Rfam. Lineage: Eukaryota; Metazoa; Chordata; Mammalia; Artiodactyla; Bovidae.